RNAcentral lists this ribosomal RNA (404 nucleotides) under uncultured bacterium. RNAcentral's name for it is "bacterial SSU rRNA". It matches the Rfam family "Bacterial small subunit ribosomal RNA", at positions 355 to 776 of the family's 1533-position model. The record is from RNAcentral.
UGGGGAAUAUUGCACAAUGGGGGAAACCCUGAUGCAGCGACGCCGCGUGAGUGAAGAAGUAUCUCGGUACGUAAAGCUCUAUCAGCAGGGAAGAAAAUGACGGUACCUGACUAAGAAGCCCCGGCUAACUACGUGCCAGCAGCCGCGGUAAUACGUAGGGGGCAAGCGUUAUCCGGAUUUACUGGGUGUAAAGGGAGCGUAGACGGCAGCACAAGUCUGGAGUGAAAUCCCGGGGCUUAACCCCGGAACUGCUUUGGAAACUGUGCGGCUGGAGUGCAGGAGGGGUAAGCGGAAUUCCUAGUGUAGCGGUGAAAUGCGUAGAUAUUAGGAGGAACACCGGUGGCGAAGGCGGCUUACUGGACUGUAACUGACGUUGAGGCUCGAAAGCGUGGGGAGCAAACAGG